GGACAAUUAGCUCAGUUGGUUAGAGCGCACGAUUCACAUUCGUGAGGUCACUGGUUCGAGUCCAGUAUUGUCCA
RNAcentral lists this transfer RNA (74 nucleotides) under Patescibacteria group bacterium. Its description in RNAcentral is "tRNA-Val". It matches the Rfam family "tRNA". Rfam says of the family: Transfer RNA (tRNA) molecules are approximately 80 nucleotides in length. Their secondary structure includes four short double-helical elements and three loops (D, anti-codon, and T loops). The record is from RNAcentral. RNAcentral also lists the same sequence under 1 other name.